AACGAACGUUGGCGGCGUGGAUUAGGCAUGCAAGUCGAGCGAGGACAGUUGUGUAGCAAUACAUGGCUGAACCGAGCGGCGAAAGGGGCAGUAAGGCGUGGAUAACUUACCCUGGGGACGGGGAUAGCCAUUCUAACGAGUGGGUAAUACCCGGCGAUGUAGCGAGAGGACAUCCUUUUGCUACCAAAUGAAUUUCGCCCUGGGAGGGGUUCACGUGGUAUUAGCUAGUUGGUGAGGUAACGGCUCACCAAGGCUAAGAUGCCUAGCAGGUGUGAGAGCACGACCUGCGCCACUGGCACUGAGACACUGGCCAGACACCUACGGGUGGCUGCAGUCGAGAAUCUUCGGCAAUGGGCGCAAGCCUGACCGAGCGACGCCGCGUGGAGGAUGAAGGCCUUCGGGUUGUAAACUCCUGUCGAAGGGGAGGAAAGCGCAAGCUUGACCUAUCCUUGGAGGAAGCACGGGCUAAGUUCGUGCCAGCCGCCGCAGUAAGAC
This 495-nucleotide ribosomal RNA is filed under the name uncultured bacterium. RNAcentral's name for it is "bacterial SSU rRNA". It matches the Rfam family "Bacterial small subunit ribosomal RNA", at positions 29 to 526 of the family's 1533-position model. The record is from RNAcentral.